Camellia sinensis is the source of this 357-nucleotide non-coding RNA. The record is from RefSeq and is a predicted model, not a curated record. NCBI's taxonomy places the organism in Eukaryota, Viridiplantae, Streptophyta, Magnoliopsida, Ericales, Theaceae.
UUUACUGUGGCAAAACUUCAUUUGUUUAUAAUUUUUAUGACCUUGCUAUAGUUGAUUUUCAGGUUCAAGCCGUCGCAUGGAAUCAUCAUGUGCCACAAGUUUCACUUAGUGGAUCCUUUGAUCAUACAGUAGUCAUGAAGGAUGGAAGGAUACCUUCUCAUACAGGAUUUAAGUGGUCAGUUUCAGCAGAUGUCGAAACUGUAGCAUGGGAUCCACAUACUGAGCAUUCAUUUGUGGUCAGUCUUGAAGAUGGUACAGUUGAAGGUUUUGAUAUCCGAGCUACUAAGUUUGAUCAAUCUUUUGACUCAAAGACAAGUUUCACUCUUCAUGCACACGAUAAAGCUGUUUGCAUAGUCU